Molecule: ribosomal RNA, 501 nt
Filed under: uncultured bacterium
Lineage: Bacteria
Description: bacterial SSU rRNA
Rfam family: Bacterial small subunit ribosomal RNA
Source: RNAcentral
UCAGGAUGAACGCUAGCGACAAGGCCUAACACAUGCAAGUCAGGGGCAGCACAAGGAGCAAUCUGAGGUGGCGACCGGCGCACGGGUGAGUAACACGUAUGCAACCUGCCUGUAAGCGGGGAAUAACCCGUUGAAAGACGGACUAAUACCGCAUAAUACUAAAUUACUGCAUGGUAAUUUAUUUAAACAUUUAUGGCUUACAGAUGGGCAUGCGCAUGAUUAGCUAGUUGGAGAGGUAACGGCUCCCCAAGGCAACGAUCAUUAGGGGUUCUGAGAGGAAGGUCCCCCCACACUGGUACUGAGACACGGACCAGACUCCUACGGGAGGCAGCAGUGAGGAAUAUUGGUCAAUGGACGAGAGUCUGAACCAGCCAAGUCGCGUGCAGGAAGAAUUGUCCUAUGGAUUGUAAACUGCUUUUGCAGGGGAAUAAAGUGCAUCACGUGUGAUGUUUUGUAUGUACUCUGCGAAUAAGGAUCGGCUAACUCCGUGCCAGCCGCGGC